Long non-coding RNA from Notolabrus celidotus (New Zealand spotty), 1426 nucleotides. RefSeq lists it as uncharacterized. The transcript has 3 exons. The record is from RefSeq and is a predicted model, not a curated record. Lineage: Eukaryota; Metazoa; Chordata; Actinopteri; Labriformes; Labridae.
CUGACAAACAGAAGGAUGCACUCUGCAGACUGGAGACACUGAGGUUGGAUCAUGGUGGAAGGAACAGACUGAAACCUGGUCUGAAGAAGUGGGCCUGUGAGCUGGAAGUGGACACAAACACAACGAGCAGAAAACUCAAACUGUCUGACAACAACAGGACGGUGACACACGUGAAGGAAGCUCAGUUGUAUUUCGAUCAUCCAGACAGAUUCGACUACUGGCCCCAGCUGCUGUGUCGGACUGGUGUGACCGGUCGCUGUUACUGGGAGGUCGAGUGGAGAGGAAGAGUUGUUGUAUCAGCGAGUUGCAGAGGAAUCAGCAGGAGAGGAACCAGUGAAGACUGCGUGUUUGGAUGGAACAAUCAGUCCUGGAGUCUGAUCUGCUAUGAUGAAGGUUACUCUGUCCGUCACAAUACCAGAGCAACAGACCUCCCUGUCUCCUGGUCCUCUGCCUCUCACAGAGUCGCAGUGUAUGUGGACUGUCCUGCUGGCACUCUGUCCUUCUACAGAGUCGCCUCUGACUCACUGAUCCACCUCCACACCUUCAGCAACACCUUCACUGAGCCUGUUUAUCCUGGUUUUGGGCCCUGGUUACCAGGUUCCUCAGUGUCUCUGUGAGAUCUGUAGGUCAGACAAACUGCUGACUGCAGCCAGAGGUUCAUUCAAAAGUCAGAGGACUUUGGUCUGAGGCUACGUCCACACGUAUACGGAAUAUUUGUAUAACUCUCUCCCUUUAAAAAAACAUCCUGUCCACCGCAGAGGUUUUUUAAUAUUUCUCUGUCCACACAGCAGCCACCAGCAUUCACUAAACUGUGUACGGAGAGUAUUAAAAACUAUGGAUCUAUUUAUUGGUCCUCAUGUGGUGAAAUUAUGAUGAACAGCCAGGUUUCCUUCCUAACAUGCUGUUACACCUAACAGUACCAAGCAGACAGAAACAAAGCAGUAGCCGCCAUCUUUGGUAUGCUCUAAAAAUAUAAACAACAACUGUUAUGUGACGUAUCAGAUAUGUCAGCGUUUCACCAGGUUGUUCCAGUGUGGAUCCUCAGAGGUGAAUAAGAGAUGUCAGGAGGAGACAACAAAUGUCUGACAAAGAGCACAAACUUAAAUAUCUAUUUAACAUAAGAGCUUCUCUCUCUGAGGAACAUUUAUCAUACAAUGUAUUAUUAUAUACACACUAUAUAUAAGGCAAAAGGGAAAAACAACAUAGAGUGUAAAAUGUAUUCAGGGCCGGAGUGGGACUCGUUUUCAACCCAAGAGUUUAAAGAUUACUCUCUACAACCAUGCCAUACAUCAUGUGUCUUAUCAAACAUCAAAACCUGUAAGUUUACAACUAUCAUUUAUUCAUUUUUCACCGUUUUACAGUCUUUUACCGUUGUACAGUCUUUCACUGUUUUAGUCUUUUACUGUUUUACAGUCUUUCACGAUAA